AUACAGAGGGUGCAAGCGUUAAUCGGAUUUACUGGGCGUAAAGCGCGCGUAGGCGGCUAAUUAAGUCAAAUGUGAAAUCCCCGAGCUUAACUUGGGAAUUGCAUUCGAUACUGGUUAGCUAGAGUGUGGGAGAGGAUGGUAGAAUUCCAGGUGUAGCGGUGAAAUGCGUAGAGAUCUGGAGGAAUACCGAUGGCGAAGGCAGCCAUCUGGCCUAACACGGACGCUGAGGUGCGAAAGCAUGGGGAGCAAACAGGAUUAGAAACCCGGGUAGUCC
This 274-nucleotide ribosomal RNA is filed under the name uncultured bacterium. RNAcentral describes it as "partial 16S ribosomal RNA". It matches the Rfam family "Bacterial small subunit ribosomal RNA", at positions 523 to 796 of the family's 1533-position model. The record is from RNAcentral.